This 71-nucleotide transfer RNA is filed under the name Loxodonta africana (African savanna elephant). It matches the Rfam family "tRNA". Rfam says of the family: Transfer RNA (tRNA) molecules are approximately 80 nucleotides in length. Their secondary structure includes four short double-helical elements and three loops (D, anti-codon, and T loops). The record is from Rfam by way of RNAcentral. Lineage: Eukaryota; Metazoa; Chordata; Mammalia; Proboscidea; Elephantidae.
GCAUUGGUAGUUCAGUGGUAGAAUUUGCACCUUCCAUGUGGGAGACCUGGGUUCAUCUCCUGGCCAAGGCA